UGGGGAAUAUUGCACAAUGGGCGCAAGCCUGAUGCAGCCAUGCCGCGUGUGUGAAGAAGGCCUUCGGGUUGUAAAGCACUUUCAGCGAGGAGGAAGGGUUCAGUGUUAAUAGCACUGUUCAUUGACGUUACUCGCAGAAGAAGCACCGGCUAACUCCGUGCCAGCAGCCGCGGUAAUACGGAGGGUGCAAGCGUUAAUCGGAAUUACUGGGCGUAAAGCGCACGCAGGCGGUUUGUUAAGUCAGAUGUGAAAUCCCCGCGCUUAACGUGGGAACU
Molecule: ribosomal RNA, 275 nt
Filed under: uncultured bacterium
Lineage: Bacteria
Description: partial 16S ribosomal RNA
Rfam family: Bacterial small subunit ribosomal RNA
Source: RNAcentral